UACGUAGGUUGCGAGCGUUGUCCGGAAUUACUGGGUGUAAAGGGCGUGUAGGCGGGGAGAUAAGUCAGAUGUGAAAUUCCUAGGCUCAACUUAGGGGCUGCAUCUGAAACUAUUUUUCUUGAGUGCUGGAGAGGGAAGCGGAAUUCCUAGUGUAGCGGUGAAAUGCGUAGAUAUUAGGAGGAACACCAGUGGCGAAGGCGGCUUUCUGGACAGUAACUGACGCUGAGGCGCGAAAGCGUGGGGAGCAAACAGG
This 253-nucleotide ribosomal RNA is filed under the name uncultured bacterium. RNAcentral describes it as "partial 16S ribosomal RNA". It matches the Rfam family "Bacterial small subunit ribosomal RNA", at positions 524 to 776 of the family's 1533-position model. The record is from RNAcentral.